UGCUAUACAUGCAGUCGAGCGGACAGAUGGGAGCUUGCUCCCUGAUGUUAGCGGCGGACGGGUGAGUAACACGUGGGUAACCUGCCUGUAAGACUGGGAUAACUCCGGGAAACCGGGGCUAAUACCGGAUGGUUGUCUGAACCGCAUGGUUCAGACAUAAAAGGUGGCUUCGGCUACCACUUACAGAUGGACCCGCGGCGCAUUAGCUAGUUGGUGAGGUAACGGCUCACCAAGGCGACGAUGCGUAGCCGACCUGAGAGGGUGAUCGGCCACACUGGGACUGAGACACGGCCCAGACUCCUACGGGAGGCAGCAGUAGGGAAUCUUCCGCAAUGGACGAAAGUCUGACGGAGCAACGCCGCGUGAGUGAUGAAGGUUUUCGGAUCGUAAAGCUCUGUUGUUAGGGAAGAACAAGUGCCGUUCAAAUAGGGCGGCACCUUGACGGUACCUAACCAGAAAGCCACGGCUAACUACGUGCCAGCAGCCGCGGUAAUACGUAGGUGGCAAGCGUUGUCCGGAAUUAUUGGGCGUAAAGGGCUCGCAGGCGGUUUCUUAAGUCUGAUGUGAAAGCCCCCGGCUCAACCGGGGAGGGUCAUUGGAAACUGGGGAACUUGAGUGCAGAAGAGGAGAGUGGAAUUCCACGUGUAGCGGUGAAAUGCGUAGAGAUGUGGAGGAACACCAGUGGCGAAGGCGACUCUCUGGUCUGUAACUGACGCUGAGGAGCGAAAGCGUGGGGAGCGAACAGGAUUAGAUACCCUGGUAGUCCACGCCGUAACGAUGAGUGCUAAGUGUUAGGGGUU
This 800-nucleotide ribosomal RNA is filed under the name Bacillus velezensis. RNAcentral describes it as "bacterial SSU rRNA". It matches the Rfam family "Bacterial small subunit ribosomal RNA", at positions 45 to 831 of the family's 1533-position model. The record is from RNAcentral. Lineage: Bacteria; Bacillati; Bacillota; Bacilli; Caryophanales; Bacillaceae.